ACUCCUACGGGAGGCAGCAGUGGGGAAUAUUGGACAAUGGGCGAAAGCCUGAUCCAGCCAUGCCGCGUGUGUGAAGAAGGUCUUCGGAUUGUAAAGCACUUUAAGUUGGGAGGAAGGGCAGUUACCCUAAUACGUGAUUGUUUUGACGUUACCGACAGAAUAAGCACCGGCUAACUCUGUGCCAGCAGCCGCGGUAAUACAGAGGGUGCAAGCGUUAAUCGGAAUUACUGGGCGUAAAGCGCGCGUAGGUGGUUAGUUAAGUUGGAUGUGAAAUCCCCGGGGCUCAACCUGGGAACUGCAUUCAAAACUGACUGACUAGAGUAUGGUAGAGGGUGGUGGAAUUUCCUGUGUAGCGGUGAAAUGCGUAGAUAUAGGAAGGAACACCAGUGGCGAAGGCGACCACCUGGACUGAUACUGACACUGAGGUGCGAAAGCGUGGGGAGCAAACAGGAUUAGAUA
Molecule: ribosomal RNA, 459 nt
Filed under: uncultured bacterium
Lineage: Bacteria
Description: bacterial SSU rRNA
Rfam family: Bacterial small subunit ribosomal RNA
Source: RNAcentral